This 490-nucleotide long non-coding RNA is filed under the name Erythranthe guttata (spotted monkey flower). RNAcentral describes it as "long non-coding RNA (EGUT_LNC000505)". Lineage: Eukaryota; Viridiplantae; Streptophyta; Magnoliopsida; Lamiales; Phrymaceae. The record is from RNAcentral.
UAGUAUAUAUAUAUGUGUGUGUGUAUGUGUGUGUAUGCUUGAGUAGGGGUAUAUGCCUUCAAAGGAGUAGGAUUCCUUCAAAUGCCAACAACGAGCAUUUCUUCAGCGUUAAGGAUCGGAAUGUCUUUUUGUUGGAGAGCCACCGCGCAGCGCCUGGCCUCGCUCAUCGCCGUCAUCGUCUCUUUGUCGCCGCCGGGCGGAGACAGCCCGUUAGCGGCAUAUGCCGCUUUGAAGUCAAUCUUUGCCUCAUCGAAGAAUCAAACAUCUUUAGAAGAAAAAAGAGAGAUGGAAAAUUUCUGGCUCAAAGAAGAAUCUGACAAGUUGAUGUUUUUCGAUUUAUUGAUCAAAUAAGAAUCUGACAAGAGAAGGAAAUUUCAUGGCAGCUGAGAAGGAAUAUUAUGAACAAGGAACAAGAAAAGUAGGUUGUGCAGUCCUCUAGUGCAUGAAAGAGUUCAAUUUAAUUAACCGUUGAUUUUUCUAACAAUAUCAG